Molecule: ribosomal RNA, 459 nt
Filed under: uncultured bacterium
Lineage: Bacteria
Description: partial 16S ribosomal RNA
Rfam family: Bacterial small subunit ribosomal RNA
Source: RNAcentral
GAUGAACGCUGGCGGCGUGCCUAAUACAUGCAAGUCGAGCGGUAAGGCCCUUCGGGGUACACGAGCGGCGGACGGCUGAGUAGCGCGUAGGAACGUACCCCAAAGUGAGGAAUAAGCACCAGAAAUGGUGUCUAAUACCGCAUGUGGUCUUCGGAUUAAAGCCUUCGGGCGCUUUGGGAGCGGCCUGCGUAUGAUUAGCUUGUUGGUGAGGUAAUGGCUCACCAAGGCGACGAUCAUUAGCUGGUCUGAGAGGAUGAUCAGCCAGACUGGGACUGAGACACGGCCCAGACUCCUACGGGAGGCAGCAGUAGGGAAUUUUCCACAAUGGACGAAAGUCUGAUGGAGCAACGCCGCGUGCAGGAUGAAUGCCUUCGGGUUGUAAACUGCUUUUAUAGGUGAAGAUUAUGACGGUAACCUAUGAAUAAGGAUCGGCUAACUCCGUGCCAGCCGCCGCGGUAA